Molecule: non-coding RNA, 112 nt
Filed under: Pontibacillus yanchengensis
Lineage: Bacteria; Bacillati; Bacillota; Bacilli; Caryophanales; Bacillaceae
Also listed under: 1 other name
Description: SAM-I sequence
Rfam family: SAM riboswitch aptamer (S box leader)
About the family: The SAM riboswitch is found upstream of a number of genes which code for proteins involved in methionine or cysteine biosynthesis in Gram-positive bacteria. The SAM riboswitch acts at the level of transcription termination control.
Source: RNAcentral
UUCUUAUCCAGAGAGGUGGAGGGACUGGCCCUUUGAAACCUCGGCAACGGAUUCUGUCCAACAGAACACCGUGCUAAUUCCUUCAAGCUAAACGUGGCUUGGAAGAUGAGGA